CACGUAGGGGGCAAGCGUUGUCCGGAUUUAUUGGGCGUAAAGAGCUCGUAGGCGGCUCAGUAAGUCAGGUGUGAAACCUCCAGGCUCAACCUGGAGACGCCACCUGAUACUGCUGUGGCUAGAGUCCGGUAGGGGAGCGUGGAAUUCCUGGUGUAGCGGUGAAAUGCGCAGAUAUCUGGAGGAACACCAGCGGCGAAGGCGGCGCUCUGGGCCGGAACUGACGCUGAGGAGCGAAAGCGUGGGUAGCAAACAGG
RNAcentral lists this ribosomal RNA (254 nucleotides) under uncultured bacterium. RNAcentral's name for it is "partial 16S ribosomal RNA". It matches the Rfam family "Bacterial small subunit ribosomal RNA", at positions 524 to 776 of the family's 1533-position model. The record is from RNAcentral.